Callithrix jacchus (white-tufted-ear marmoset) is the source of this 300-nucleotide unclassified non-coding RNA. It matches the Rfam family "Metazoan signal recognition particle RNA". Rfam says of the family: The signal recognition particle (SRP) is a universally conserved ribonucleoprotein. It is involved in the co-translational targeting of proteins to membranes. The record is from Ensembl. NCBI's taxonomy places the organism in Eukaryota, Metazoa, Chordata, Mammalia, Primates, Cebidae.
GCUGGGUGCAGUGGCUUGUACCUGUAGUCCCAGCUACUCAGGAAGCUGAGGUGGGAGGAUAGCUUGAGCCCAGGAGUUCUGGGCUGUAGUUCGCUAUGCCGAUCAGGUGUCUGCACUAAGUUCGGCAUCAAUAUGGUGACCUCCCGGGAGUGGGGGACCACCAGGUUGCCUAAGGAGAGGUGAACCAGCCCAGAUCAGAAAUGGAGCAGGUCAAAACUUCCAUGCUGAUCAGUAGUGGGAUCACGCCUGUGAAUAGCCACUGCACUCCAGCCUGGGCUACAUAGCAAGACCAGGUCUCUA